Molecule: ribosomal RNA, 347 nt
Filed under: uncultured bacterium
Lineage: Bacteria
Description: bacterial SSU rRNA
Rfam family: Bacterial small subunit ribosomal RNA
Source: RNAcentral
GGGCCCGCACAAGCGGUGGAGCAUGUGGUUUAAUUCGAUGAUACGCGAGGAACCUUACCAGGGCUUAAAUGUAAGUUGCAUGGAUCAGAGAUGGUCCUUUCUUCGGACUACUUACAAGGUGCUGCAUGGUUGUCGUCAGCUCGUGCCGUGAGGUGUCAGGUUAAGUCCUAUAACGAGCGCAACCCCUAUCGUUAGUUGCCAACAGGUAAAGCUGGGAACUCUAACGAGACUGCCGGUGCAAACCGUGAGGAAGGUGGGGAUGACGUCAAAUCAUCACGGCCCUUACGUCCUGGCUACACACGUGCUACAAUGGCCGGUACAGAGAGCAGCCACUACGCGAGUAGGAG